CCGCUGCGCGCGGCUCCUGGGCUGUCACAGUCUCCCGUUGCCGCCGUCAUGUCCCGGCAGCUGUCGCGGGCCCGGCCAGCCACGGUGCUGGGCGCCAUGGAGAUGGGGCGCCGCAUGGACGCGCCCACCAGCGCCGCAGUCACGCGCGCCUUCCUGGAGCGCGGCCACACCGAGAUAGACACGGCCUUCCUGUACAGCGACGGCCAGUCCGAGACCAUCCUUGGCGGCCUGGGGCUCCGAAUGGGCAGCAGCGACUGCAGAGUGAAAAUUGCUACCAAGGCCAAUCCAUGGAUUGGGAACUCCCUGAAGCCUGACAGUGUCCGAUCCCAGCUGGAGACGUCACUGAAGCGGCUGCAGUGUCCCUGAGUGGACCUCUUCUAUCUACAUGCACCUGACCACAGCGCCCCGGUGGAAGAGACACUGCGUGCCUGCCACCAGCUGCACCAGGAGGGCAAGUUCGUGGAGCUUGGCCUCUCCAACUAUGCCGCCUGGGAAGUGGCCGAGAUCUGUACCCUCUGCAAGAGCAACGGCUGGAUCCUGCCCACUGUGUACCAGGGCAUGUACAGCGCCACCACCCGGCAGGUGGAAACGGAGCUCUUCCCCUGCCUCAGGCACUUUGGACUGAGGUUCUAUGCCUACAACCCUCUGGCUGGGGGCCUGCUGACCGGCAAGUACAAGUAUGAGGACAAGGACGGGAAACAGCCCGUGGGCCGCUUCUUUGGGACUCAGUGGGCAGAGAUCUACAGGAAUCACUUCUGGAAGGAGCACCACUUCGAGGGCAUUGCCCUGGUGGAGAAGGCCCUGCAGGCCGCGUAUGGCGCCAGCGCUCCCAGCAUGACCUCGGCCGCCCUCCGGUGGAUGUACCACCACUCACAGCUGCAGGGUGCCCACGGGGACGCGGUCAUCCUGGGCAUGUCCAGCCUGGAGCAGCUGGAGCAGAACUUGGCAGCGGCAGAGGAAGGGCCCCUGGAGCCGGCUGUCGUGGACGCCUUUAAUCAAGCCUGGCAUUUGUUUGCCCACGAAUGUCCCAACUACUUCAUCUAAGCUCAUUGUGGCUCAGGCUGCCCAAGGCUUUUCUGUCAACUCUUUUGCUCUCUCCCGCUUUGUCUAAUUUAGAACUGCCUCACUAAAUUCUUAGGGAUGGAAGUAUUUGGAAAAAAACCUAACAGUAGAGUCACCACCUAAGGAAGAAUAAAAUCUCCCAGGGUGCUGUGUGUUAGUCUGUUUGCGUUGCUAUAAAAGAAUACCUGAGACUGGGUCAUGUAUAAAGAAAAGAGGUUUCUUUGGCUCACAGUUCUGCAGUCUGUACAAGAGGGUGUGGUGCCGGCAUCUGCUCUUGGUGAGGGCCUCAGGAAGCUUAGAAUCAUGGCAGAAGGGGAAACGGAGCCAGCGUGUCACAUGGUGAGAGAGGGAGCAAGAGACAGACAGGGGAGGAAAUUCACACACUGAUGGUGGGGAUGUAAAAUGGUACAACCAGUUUGGAAAACAGUUUGGCAGUUUCUCAAAGGAUUAAACAUAAAAUUACCAUAGGAUUCAGCAGUUCCACUUGUGGGUAUGUAGCCAAGAGAAAUGAAAACAUAUCUCCCCACAAAAAAACUUGGGUAUGAGAUUUCACAUUAUCAUUGCUCAUAAUAGCCAAUAAGUAAAAACAACCCAAAUGUCCAAGAAUGAAUAAAUGGAUAAACAAAAUAUGGUAUAUUUAUACAACAGACUAUUAUUCGGCCAUUAAAAAAAAAAAAGAGUGGCUGACACCUGUAAUCUCAGCACUUUGAGAGGCCAAGGCAGUAGGACUGAUUGAAGACAGGAGUUCCAGACCAGUCUGGGAAACAAAGCGAGACCCUGUCUCCACUAAACAUAAAAACAAAAUUACUGGGGCCCCAUGGCACACACCUGUAGUCCCAGCUGCUCGGGAAGCUGAGAUGGGCGGAUUGCUUGAGCCCAGGUAUUCAAGUCUGGAGUGAGCUAUGACUGUGCCACUGCACUCCAGCCUGGGCGACAGAGCAAACCCUGUUUCCAAACAAACAAACAAACAAACAAAUACACAGACAGAAGUAGUUAAACAUCUACAAGGUAAGUGCAUCUUGAAGACGUGUUAAGUUAAAGAAGCCAAUUACAAAAGGUUUCACGUUGUAUGAUUUCGUUUAUAUGAAAUGUCCAGAAUAGGCAAAUCUGUUUGAGAGAGAGAAAGUAGAUGAGUACUUGCCUAGGACUGGGAGGAGGAUUGCGAGGAAAUGGAGAUUCACUGCUAAUGAGUACAGGGUUUCUUUUGGGGGCGCUUAUGAAGAUGCUCUGAAAUUGAUUGUGAUGGUUGUACAACUCUGAAUACAUGAAACAGCAUUAAACAUCACUUUAAGUAAGUCAA
RNA transcript from Homo sapiens (human), 2362 nucleotides. It is a transcript of the gene named aldo-keto reductase family 7 like (gene/pseudogene), transcript variant 1, noncoding, with no coding region annotated. Lineage: Eukaryota; Metazoa; Chordata; Mammalia; Primates; Hominidae. The transcript is spliced from 7 exons. The record is from RefSeq and is marked reviewed.